GUCCUUACCUAGAAUAAAAAAGGAAUGUUAAGAGAAGAAGAGAAUUAAGACACGAAACUGCCGGCAGGUAACUCACGAUGCCGCCUUGUUAUCGCAAGGUUUGGGCGCUUUAUCGAUCGUAAAACAACGUUAUUUCCCUGUUUUUUGCUUCCUGCGAUAUGCCUCAGACUCGAACAGUGUGUAUAAAUUUUCCCUCUCCGCAGGUCUUCCUUAUAGCCAUCUCUAACCAUAACAGAUUCUGCUUCUGCUUAUUGUUAAUUUAAGCAUCGAGUUUCAAGAGAGAAAGACUACAGAAAACAAUGGUUGGAAAGAGGCAAACUGAUCAACCAAAAGUUACUAAAAGGAAGAAGGACCAUAGGCUGAGGAAAGGGGAGCUUGACCUGAAGAAGGAGAAGGAGAAAGUGAAAUUCUUCUCAGGGUUGCUAGCAGAGGUCGGAGCAGUGCAAGCGGAGCUGAUGGAAGACGUAGACAGCCUGCAGGACCCAACUGAAAGCGACCUGCAUCUAAAAUGUCAACAACUCAGAAGAGUCAACACUCAGGGUGCACUGCUGAAUACCAUGAUGCGAAACUACAUUAACAGGACGCUUGCUGUUUUAUUGGAUGGUGAAGGCGGAGGCAGUUGAUAAGAUCAGGAACCCUUGAAUGGUUAUUCGGAAUUACUCAGUUACUUUUCAGUACAUUAUCCUUUAACAGACCUAAAAUCACCUUUCCAUGUGUGCUAGUUGUGGAAGCUAUAUCAAUAAAUAAUACUUAAAAAUGUAUUGAAAAGUAAUUGAGGUAAGUUGAUGCUAGGAACGGCAUGAUUAGAGUAUCAACGCAGCGGAAUAAACAAAAUAAAAAUCAUGUCUCCUACCUUUGGAUUA
Molecule: long non-coding RNA, 863 nt
Organism: Theobroma cacao (cacao)
Lineage: Eukaryota; Viridiplantae; Streptophyta; Magnoliopsida; Malvales; Malvaceae
Source: RefSeq, a predicted model, not a curated record